RNAcentral lists this long non-coding RNA (424 nucleotides) under Solanum tuberosum (potato). RNAcentral's name for it is "long non-coding RNA (STUB_LNC003044)". Lineage: Eukaryota; Viridiplantae; Streptophyta; Magnoliopsida; Solanales; Solanaceae. The record is from RNAcentral.
GCAGGGGCGGCUCAACGUAAUUUGAGGCCUAAAACGAAAUUUUAAUUGAGGCCUAAAAUCUAUAUAAAUAUCAAAUAUAGUAUUUUAUUUUUUAAAACUUUUUAAGUGCAAAUUAUUACUUGAUAUCUUUUCUUAAAAUGUUUUUUUUCAAAUAUCGUUUUUAAUUAUUAAUUUUAAGUAAUAUUUUAUCAAUUCAACAUUGAAAAAUAUUCUUUUGCUGAGGCAAUCAUUAUAUAAAUUGUUAACAUAAUACUAUAAGUAAUAAGUUGACAAGCUUUACAUAAAGAUAAGAAUUAGAACCAUAAAAUCUGAUACAAGAAAUUGAUAACUUGGUAUAAGUUAUAACCCUACUUUAAUAUGUUUAUGUAAUACUUGAAUAUUUAAGAAGAAACAAACAAAAGAAAAAUUGUAAGUCACUUUGUUG